GCCGUGAAAGUCCUCGAUUCUUUGUCUAGCGGUAGACGGCCUACGCACGGGGACGACGGACAUUUUUUCAACUCCUUGAUAGUCCCUCUUUACCUCGCUCUCUUAAGUUGACGCCUAUGCGGGCAGGCGGGAAUGAC
RNAcentral lists this antisense RNA (137 nucleotides) under Coxiella burnetii RSA 493. Its description in RNAcentral is "Coxiella burnetii sRNA 3". It matches the Rfam family "Coxiella burnetii sRNA 3", at positions 1 to 135 of the family's 198-position model. Rfam says of the family: CbSRs 2, 3, 4 and 9 are located antisense to identified ORFs. CbSRs are up-regulated during intracellular growth in host cells. The record is from Rfam by way of RNAcentral. Lineage: Bacteria; Pseudomonadati; Pseudomonadota; Gammaproteobacteria; Legionellales; Coxiellaceae.